GAACUCGAAUUUUAAAAAUUAUUGGAGUUCUAUUGUUGUCGGGUACUUUUAAUCCGCCGCAGUUGUAAAUGUGAAUCAUAGAUGGCGAUGAAACAGUAUCUUAGUCUGCCUAAAAAGAGCCAAAUAAAAUGUCUGCAAUUGUCAACUUACGUGUUUUCCGUAAUUUCAGCAGUUUGUGUCAACUCCCAUUGCUAAUUAUCCCACAUCAUUUCGCAAUAAUGAAGAAAUUCUAAAAGUGAGAAGACGAAUUCCGUUCGCUGGAUCUGAGUGCAAACAAGUCGUUGAAUAUGAGAUCUUACGGACGUAAAGUAUACAAGAGAGCAGCAGUUCACGUUUCAACAUAACGCGCUUUUGAUGAAGACUGGCCCUCUAGUUUGGCCAGUUGCCAGGUCUUUCCAUCCAGCUAGCGUCCUGCUGCCCUUGCAUCAGGGCUAGGUUGUUCCGUGUGCAACACCACCUGGUAAAUUUGCUAAUGCAGAGUUAAUGACGAUCCCCAACUUUCUUCACUUGACACCACCCGCUUUUGAGAGACAUUGCCAAGCAUUGAAAAAGUUCUGCACAGAGUGCUGUAAGAGUUGGAUAUCAAAGAAAAGAUUGAAAAUUGUUUACCCAUCACAAUCACAACUAGUGAUUACCUCAAUUCUUUCCCCUCAAAUUGUUUACCCAUCACAAUCACAACUAGUGAUUACCUCAAUUCUUUCCCCUCAUUGAGUGAUGCCCGAGCCAGAAUUGUAACACUCCAGGUGAAAUUGAGCUCUUUGAAAUUGGACAACCAUGCCAAGGAUAAAUUCCUCUUUUUCCUGUACCGGCUGUAUGUUUUGUAAGAAACACUUCAGAACUAUUCAGGAUUAUCAGUCUGGUAAAAGUAUGAGCUUCUUUGUUGCUGCCCAACGUACACAUGGACUUGAUGCAGCCAGCCGAGGGCUUUAACUCUUGUUUAGUGUUUUAUGUUCGCGUUGUUGCUGUCUGAUGUGGCACGUUGUUGAAGCCUAUUCUGGUGAAAUCUUUCUACAUCAAGUUCAAUUGGCCGUUCCUUGGUGCUGGUGUUGUGUUACCGAAGUUGCAUCAUAUUUUGUUAAAUUGUCAUCGUGACUAUUGCAGUUUACCAUUUAUAAGUUCAGAAGCAACAAAAACAAAUAUGGGAUGUUCAUGUCAAACAAAUAAUAAACAUGUUUUUGGGGUUGGGAAAGGAAAGUGGUGGAUGUUGGAGGGGGGAUAUUUCAAGUUUGGAUAAAAAUGCAGUGAAUCUAUAACCCUACAAAUGUAUCCCUACCCAUUAAUCUCCAAACCCCACAAACACAUACCUUCCAAUCCUUCAAACCGCGAAAACAUACACCUACCAACCAUUAAAUCUAUACCCUUAACCCUAUAAACCAAUAUUUAACCAUGUAAUAUAAUAAAUAAAAUAAAUACACUUUAUGAAC
Long non-coding RNA from Daphnia pulex (common water flea), 1424 nucleotides. RefSeq lists it as uncharacterized. The record is from RefSeq and is a predicted model, not a curated record. The transcript is spliced from 6 exons. NCBI's taxonomy places the organism in Eukaryota, Metazoa, Arthropoda, Branchiopoda, Diplostraca, Daphniidae.